RNAcentral lists this ribosomal RNA (301 nucleotides) under uncultured bacterium. RNAcentral's name for it is "partial 16S ribosomal RNA". It matches the Rfam family "Bacterial small subunit ribosomal RNA", at positions 509 to 807 of the family's 1533-position model. The record is from RNAcentral.
CAGUCGCCACGGUAAUACGAAGGGUGCAAGCGUUAAUCGGAAUUACUGGGCGUAAAGCGCACGCAGGCGGUUUGUUAAGUCUGUUGUGAAAUCCCCGGGCUCAACCUGGGAAUGGCAAUGGAUACUGGCAAGCUAGAGUGUGUCAGAGGAUGGUGGAAUUCCCGGUGUAGCGGUGAAAUGCGUAGAGAUCGGGAGGAACAUCAGUGGCGAAGGCGGCCAUCUGGGACAACACUGACGCUGAGGCACGAAAGCGUGGGGAGCAAACAGGAUUAGAUACCCGAGUAGUCCCUGUCUCUUAUAC